ACCAACAGUUUUCCCUCGGCGACCGGUAGUCUUGGUGUGCUGACCACGGACACGGAGACCCCAGUAAUGCCUCAGACCACGAUGGUUCCUGAUCUUCUUCAAACGCUCCAAGUCAUCUCUCAGCUUCAUGUCAAGAGCAUUUGAUACCACCUGUGAAUACUUUCCAUCCUUGUAGUCCUUCUGUCUAUUCAAAAACCAAUCGGGAAUUUUGAACUGUCGGGGGUUCGCAACGACAACCAUGAGAUUG
RNAcentral lists this unclassified non-coding RNA (247 nucleotides) under Hevea brasiliensis (rubber tree). Lineage: Eukaryota; Viridiplantae; Streptophyta; Magnoliopsida; Malpighiales; Euphorbiaceae. The record is from RNAcentral.